CCCCUAGAUGUUCUGGGCAGCACGCGCGCUACAAUGGUCUUCGCAAACGGAUGCAUUCUCGAAGGAGGAUGCCAAUCUUGGAAUCUAUGCCUUGGUCGGGACAGUUGCUUGCAAUUUUUCGACUCGAACCAGGAAUUCCUUGUAAUCGUGAUUCAUCACAUCACGAUGAAUACGUCCCUGCCCUUUGUACACACCGCCCGUCGCUCCUACCGAUCGAAGAGUUAGGUGAAUUGUUUUGAUCGAUAAGAUUUGACUAUGGUCAACUCUCGUUGUGAAAUUCUGUGAAUCUGACUGUUUAGAGGAAGGAAAAGUCGUAACA
RNAcentral lists this ribosomal RNA (319 nucleotides) under uncultured eukaryote. RNAcentral's name for it is "partial 18S ribosomal RNA". It matches the Rfam family "Eukaryotic small subunit ribosomal RNA", at positions 1470 to 1796 of the family's 1831-position model. The record is from RNAcentral.